CUUGAUUCUAAAAGAGGGGUAUGAAAGAAAAUAACGCUAAGGAUCAAAUGGGGUAAACAAAGGAUGACACAAUGUUUGGAUAGCAGAAUGAAAUGCCUUCAUCAUAUCAAUCCUUGAGAAUGCAAGUAUAUAGCAUGCAAUGUGAAAGUACACGACCAAUAUCACUUAUGACAUGUUUUACAACACUAACUUGCCUCGAACAUGUGUUUCACCUCUUUUUAUAUACUUGUCAAAGAUACAACUCUACCUUUGUUAUGCAUCCCUCACAUCGAGUGAUUCAUGCUUCUGUGGAGCUGAUUAUCUUCUUGUUAACCUUGAUAUAGGGAUCACACGUCCACUAUUCGACCUAAUUGGGACCUGCCUUUCGAUCGAUAUCCAAGUUAUUUUUUGUGAUUCUCAAAAUAAUUGCCUUAACCUAUUACCAAAUGUCUCAGCACUCUAUCUAUUUUCUCAUAUGCUCUUUUUUUCUAACUUUAACCCUCUGAUUCAAAGUUCAUGCUUAAAUUGGAUUUUAAGAUCUGGCUGAAAAUUUCACUGCAUGUCAUAUCACUAGAGUUAACACAAAAUGUACUAUGUA
Molecule: long non-coding RNA, 577 nt
Filed under: Capsicum annuum
Lineage: Eukaryota; Viridiplantae; Streptophyta; Magnoliopsida; Solanales; Solanaceae
Description: long non-coding RNA (CANN_LNC019973)
Source: RNAcentral